This 253-nucleotide ribosomal RNA is filed under the name uncultured bacterium. RNAcentral describes it as "partial 16S ribosomal RNA". It matches the Rfam family "Bacterial small subunit ribosomal RNA", at positions 524 to 776 of the family's 1533-position model. The record is from RNAcentral.
UACGUAGGUGGCAAGCGUUGUCCGGAAUUAUUGGGCGUAAAGCGCGCGCAGGUGGUUUCUUAAGUCUGAUGUGAAAGCCCACGGCUCAACCGUGGAGGGUCAUUGGAAACUGGGGAACUUGAGUGCAGGAGAGAAGAGUGGAAUUCCACGUGUAGCGGUGAAAUGCGUAGAGAUGUGGAGGAACCCCAGUGGCGAAGGCGACUCUUUGGCCUGUAACUGACACUGAGGCGCGAAAGCGUGGGGAGCAAACAGG